Molecule: transfer RNA, 74 nt
Filed under: Cordylochernes scorpioides
Lineage: Eukaryota; Metazoa; Arthropoda; Arachnida; Pseudoscorpiones; Chernetidae
Description: tRNA-Thr
Source: RNAcentral
GUCCAGGAGAUGGGAAUCGAACCCACAGUGUUCCGCUUACCGGGCAGAUGCCAUGUCCACUAGGCUACCCUGGA